GUGAAUCAUCGAAUUUUUGAACGCAAAUUGCACUCUCUGGUAUUCCGGAGAGUAUGCCUGUUUGAGGGUCAGUAAAUAUAAAAAUCGAGGUGUUGCUGUUUUGUGACCCAUCGGUAUUGGGUUAUCUUUGACCUUUUAAAAAGUGUAAGGGACCUCAAAUUGAUACUUAGAGCAUCUCGGCCGU
RNAcentral lists this unclassified non-coding RNA (184 nucleotides) under Glomeraceae sp. RNAcentral's name for it is "partial contains 5.8S ribosomal RNA and internal transcribed spacer 2". The stretch from base 1 to 71 matches the Rfam family "5.8S ribosomal RNA", at positions 84 to 154 of the family's 154-position model. The record is from RNAcentral. Lineage: Eukaryota; Fungi; Glomeromycota; Glomeromycetes; Glomerales; Glomeraceae.